UACGUAGGGGGCAAGCGUUGUCCGGAUUUAUUGGGCGUAAAGAGCGUGUAGGCGGCCAGGGAGGUCCGUUGUGAAAACUCGAGGCUCAACCUCGAGACGCCGAUGGAAACCCCCUGGCUAGAGUCCGGAAGAGGAGAGUGGAAUUCCUGGUGUAGCGGUGAAAUGCGCAGAUAUCAGGAGGAACACCAAUGGCGAAGGCAGCGCGCUGGGACGGUACUGACGCUGAGACGCGAAAGCGUGGGGAGCGAACCGG
This 253-nucleotide ribosomal RNA is filed under the name uncultured bacterium. RNAcentral's name for it is "partial 16S ribosomal RNA". It matches the Rfam family "Bacterial small subunit ribosomal RNA", at positions 524 to 776 of the family's 1533-position model. The record is from RNAcentral.